CUCAAAGAUUAUAUAUACUAGGAUACAUACAUUAUAUAAUGAAAAUAAUAUAGGCUGUGUCAUGCCCUUGACCCAGAAUAUAAAUUAAAAUAAAAUUCAAAAAAUAUGAGCAGCCACCGCAUGCCUGCAGAUACUCAUCCUAUAGGCAUGCAAGGCUUCCAAUAUAGCAAAACUCAGUAUAAUAUGCAAAAUAGCAUUCUCCAGGC
RNAcentral lists this long non-coding RNA (206 nucleotides) under Elaeis guineensis (African oil palm). RNAcentral's name for it is "long non-coding RNA (EGUI_LNC013605)". Lineage: Eukaryota; Viridiplantae; Streptophyta; Magnoliopsida; Arecales; Arecaceae. The record is from RNAcentral.